RNAcentral lists this ribosomal RNA (524 nucleotides) under uncultured bacterium. Its description in RNAcentral is "partial 16S ribosomal RNA". It matches the Rfam family "Bacterial small subunit ribosomal RNA", at positions 28 to 523 of the family's 1533-position model. The record is from RNAcentral.
GACGAACGCUGGCGGCGUGCCUAAUACAUGCAAGUCGAGCGCAGGAAACUGACGGAACUCUUCGGAGGGAAGGCAGUGGAAUGAGCGGCGGACGGGUGAGUAACACGUAAGGAACCUGCCUCAAGGAUUGGGAUAACUCCGAGAAAUCGGAGCUAAUACCGGAUAGUUCAUCGGACCGCAUGGUCCGUUGAUGAAAGGCGCUCCGGCGUCACCUUGAGAUGGCCUUGCGGUGCAUUAGCUAGUUGGUGGGGAAACGGCACACCAAGGCGACGAUGCAUAGCCGACCUGAGAGGGUGAUCGGCCACACUGGGACUGAGACACGGCCCAGACUCCUACGGGAGGCAGCAGUAGGGAAUCUUCCACAAUGGACGAAAGUCUGAUGGAGCAACGCCGCGUGAGUGAUGAAGGUUUUCGGAUCGUAAAACUCUGUUGUAAGGGAAGAACACGUACGAGAGGGAAUGCUCGUACCGUGACGGUACCUUACGAGAAAGCCACGGCUAACUACGUGCCAGCAGCCGCGGUAA